This 319-nucleotide ribosomal RNA is filed under the name uncultured Pseudomonadota bacterium. RNAcentral's name for it is "bacterial SSU rRNA". It matches the Rfam family "Bacterial small subunit ribosomal RNA", at positions 30 to 351 of the family's 1533-position model. The record is from RNAcentral. Lineage: Bacteria; Pseudomonadati; Pseudomonadota.
AUUGAACGCUGGCGGUAUGCUUAACACAUGCAAGUCGAACGGUAACAGGCCUUCGGGCGCUGACGAGUGGCGGACGGGUGAGUAACGCGUAGGAAUCUGCCUUAUAGUGGGGGACAACGUGGGGAAACCCACGCUAAUACCGCAUACGCCCUACGGGAGAAAGUGGGGGAUCUUCGGACCUCACGCUAUCAGAUGAGCCUAGGUCGGAUUAGCUAGUUGGUGAGGUAAAGGCUCACCAAGGCGACGAUCCGUAACUGGUCUGAGAGGAUGAUCAGUCACACUGGAACUGAGACACGGUCCAGACUCCUACGGGAGGCUG